GACGAACGCUGGCGGCGUGCUUAACACAUGCAAGUCGAACGGAAAGGCCCUGCUUUUGUGGGGUGCUCGAGUGGCGAACGGGUGAGUAACACGUGAGUAACCUGCCCUUGACUUUGGGAUAAAUUCAGGAAACUGGGGCUAAUACCGGAUAGGAGCUCCUGCUGCAUGGUGGGGGGUGGAAAGUUUCGGCGGUUGGGGAUGGACUCGCGGCUUAUCAGCUUGUUGGUGGGGUAGUGGCUUACCAAGGCUUUGACGGGUAGCCGGCCUGAGAGGGUGACCGGCCACAUUGGGACUGAGAUACGGCCCAGACUCCUACGGGAGGCAGCAGUGGGGAAUAUUGCACAAUGGGCGGAAGCCUGAUUCAGCAACGCCGCGUGCGGGAUGACGGCCUUCGGGUUGUAAACCGCUUUCGCCUGUGACGAAGCGUGAGUGACGGUAAUGGGUAAAGAAGCACCGGCUAACUACGUG
Molecule: ribosomal RNA, 468 nt
Filed under: uncultured bacterium
Lineage: Bacteria
Description: partial 16S ribosomal RNA
Rfam family: Bacterial small subunit ribosomal RNA
Source: RNAcentral